Symphalangus syndactylus (siamang) is the source of this 311-nucleotide long non-coding RNA. RefSeq lists it as uncharacterized. The record is from RefSeq and is a predicted model, not a curated record. Lineage: Eukaryota; Metazoa; Chordata; Mammalia; Primates; Hylobatidae.
AGUCAAACGCAAGCACCUCCCACCCCAGAGACCUUUGGUCCCAGCCUGGAGAUCAGCUCAGACAAGAAGACGACCAGGGAAGGCGCACAGACUCUGCGAAAAGCUGCUGCUGUUUAACAUCGCACAGUCAGAAGGGAUCGUCUCAGCCAGCCUGCAGCAUCUGUCACUUUGACCAUGAGACGCUGCCUCGAUUUCCAAUCCAGGGUGCCAUCCUCCUCCACGCCCCGCAGCGGAUCCCCAGGGCGGGAGGAGCGGCGCCGAGUCGGACCGGCUGCAGGCCAGUGCUCUUCCCGGAAGUGCGCCUCCCCCGG